Molecule: ribosomal RNA, 600 nt
Filed under: uncultured bacterium
Lineage: Bacteria
Description: bacterial SSU rRNA
Rfam family: Bacterial small subunit ribosomal RNA
Source: RNAcentral
CCUACGGGAGGCAGCAGUGGGGAAUAUUGGGCAAUGGAGGAAACUCUGACCCAGCGACGCCGCGUGCGGGAUGAAGGCCUUCGGGUUGUAAACCGCUUUCAGUAGGGAAGAAGCGAAAGUGACGGUACCUACAAAAGAAGCACCGGCUAACUAUGUGCCAGCAGCCGCGGUAAUACAUAGGGUGCAAGCGUUGUCCGGAAUUAUUGGGCGUAAAGAGCUCGUAGGUCGUUUGUUACGUCGGAUGUGAAAACCUGAGGCUCAACCUCAGGCCUGCAUUCGAUACGGGCAAACUAGAGUUUGGUAGGGGAGACUGGAAUUCCUGGUGUAGCGGUGGAAUGCGCAGAUAUCAGGAGGAACACCAAUGGCGAAGGCAGGUCUCUGGGCCAAUACUGACACUGAGGAGCGAAAGUCUGGGGAGCGAACAGGAUUAGAUACCCUGGUAGUCCAGACCGUAAACGGUGGGCACUAGUUGUGGGAACCUUCCACGGUUUCUGCGACGCAGCUAACGCAUUAAGUGCCCCGCCUGGGGAGUACGAUCGCAAGAUUAAAACUCAAAGAUAUACGACGNGNGAGACGCGACGACGACGACGACGAGGAGAG